ACCCAACCAUUGUGUAUCUACCUCACCGUUGCCUCGGCGGGUGGCCCGGGAAACCCGGCCGCGCUGGCCCCCUCCGGGGGACCGGCAAGCCCGUCAGAGGACCGAAACUCUUCGUCAUCAUUGGCCUCUCUGAGUAACUUAUACAAUAAGUCAAAACUUUCAACAACGGAUCUCUUGGUUCUGGCAUCGAUGAAGAACGCAGCGAAAUGCGAUACGUAAUGUGAAUUGCAGAUUUCAGUGAAUCAUCGAAUCUUUGAACGCACAUUGCGCCCGCCAGUAUUCUGGCGGGCAUGCCUGUUCGAGCGUCAUUUCAACCAUCAAGCGCCUGCGCUUGUGUUGGAGCCCUGCGGCUGCCGCAGGCUCCCAAACCCAGUGGCGGGCUCGUCGUCGUACCGAGUGCAGUAAACUUACCACGCUCAGGGCACGUGACGGGUGACCGGCCGUAAAACCCCCACUUAUCAAGGUUGACCUCGGAUCAGGUAGGAAUACCCGCUGAACUUAA
RNAcentral lists this ribosomal RNA (502 nucleotides) under uncultured fungus. RNAcentral's name for it is "eukaryotic LSU rRNA". The stretch from base 155 to 308 matches the Rfam family "5.8S ribosomal RNA". The record is from RNAcentral. Lineage: Eukaryota; Fungi.